Molecule: long non-coding RNA, 502 nt
Organism: Gopherus flavomarginatus (Mexican gopher tortoise)
Lineage: Eukaryota; Metazoa; Chordata; Testudines; Testudinidae
Exons: 3
Source: RefSeq, a predicted model, not a curated record
CUCCCAUUGUUUGCAAGGGGCUCGAAGCUCCAUUGCCCUCUCUCAAAAUGGCCGCGACCUUCUCCUUUGGGGGCGGGGCGGAAGGAACUGCAGAGAUGAUGGACAGCUCCCUUCCCGGGGGCGCCCCAGCUCCUGGAGUCAUGUGGAUCUCUGAUGAUUUCAGACUUCAUUCUUAAAGAACAAAUGCUUGAGAAAGCUAAUGAAUACCAUUGGGACAAAACAGACACUAGGAGAAACACCCCCAAAGGAGGAUGAUUCUCGUUUGCUACCAUGAUCUCUCAGGUAGCCAAUUUUUAAUCCAUUUAAUAUGGGCACAUGGAUUUUGUAUAGUGCUAGUUUUUUUAACAGAAUGUUAUGUGGGACUCAGACAAAAGCCAUGCAGAGGUCAUCGCUACAUUGUCAUCAGUUAUCUUUAUCAACCAAACCUGUAAUCUCAUCACAAAGUGAUGUAAAAUGUGUGUGACAAGACCUGUGUUCCAUAAAACCACGUUGAUUGCCAUUA